AACGAACGCUGGCGGCGCGCUUAACACAUGCAAGUCGAGCGCCCCACCUUCGGGUGGGGAGCGGCGCACGGGUGAGUAACGCGUGGGAACCUGCCCCAAGGUUCGGGACAACGGCGGGAAACCGCCGCUAACACCGGCUAUGGCGGUCUCGCGAGAGACGGCGAAAGGCGCGCAAGCACCGCCUUGGGAUGGGCCCGCGUCCGAUUAGGUUGACGGUGGGGUAACGGCCCACCGUGCCUCUGAUCGGUAGCCGGUCUGAGAGGAUGAUCGGCCACACUGGGACUGAGACACGGCCCAGACUCCUACGGGAGGCAGCAGUGGGAAUCUUGGACAAUGGGGGCAACCCUGAUCCAGCGACGCCGCGUGGGUGAUGAAGGCCUUCGGGUUGUAAAGCCCUUUUGCCGGGACGAUGAUGACGGUACCGGCGAAUAAGCACCGGCUAACUCCGUGCCAGCAGCCGCGGUAAU
RNAcentral lists this ribosomal RNA (467 nucleotides) under uncultured bacterium. RNAcentral describes it as "bacterial SSU rRNA". It matches the Rfam family "Bacterial small subunit ribosomal RNA", at positions 28 to 524 of the family's 1533-position model. The record is from RNAcentral.